This 799-nucleotide non-coding RNA is filed under the name Antarctoperla michaelseni. Lineage: Eukaryota; Metazoa; Arthropoda; Insecta; Plecoptera; Gripopterygidae. The record is from RNAcentral.
UUAAAGUUUUAUUCUUGCUUAUUGAUUUAUUUUAAUUUUGCUUUACAUGUAAGUUUUCGCGUGGAUUGAUUAUUUUAGUCUUAAGGAUUUAAUAAUAUAUUUUUAUUCGCAGUAUUUAAUUUUAUUAAUCAAGGAAAGUUGGAAUUAGUAAUAAUUUAUAGUACCGGCAAAAAUCGUGCCAGCAGCCGCGGUUACACGGAGGGUACAAGUGAAUAUUUUUAGUUGAUAGUUAUAAGAGUAUAAUAAAAGGGCAGAAAAUUGAUUUUGUUAGGUGAAAUUUUAAUUUUAAAUUAUUCCUUUAUAAUUUAUUAGAAGCUAUGAAAUUUAAAGAUUAAACUAGGAUUAGAUACCCUAUUAUUUUAAAUGUAAAUUGUUAAAGCUUGAGUAGUAUUAGAUAUGUUCUUGAAACUCAAAGAAUUUGGCGGUGUUUUAGUCCUUUUAGAGGAACCUGUCCCGUAAUCGAUAGUCCACGUUUUACCUUACUUAAUUUUGUUAUCAGCUUGUAUACCGCCGUCGUCAGAAUGUCCUUGAAGGGUUAUAAUUUUCUUAAUUUUUAAUUAAAAUUGAUGUCAGGUCAAGGUGCAGUUUAUGAUUAAGUGGAGAUGGGUUACAAUAAAUGUAUUUAUUACGGAAGAUGAAUGGAAAAGUUCAUUUGAAGGUGGAUUUAAUUGUAAUGAUUUAAAUAAAAAAAAUUUGAUUUUGGCUCUAAAACAUGCACACAUCGCCCGUCGCUCUCGUUAUUUAAGGCGAGAUAAGUCGUAACAUAGUAGGUGUACCGGAAGGUGUACCUGGAAAGUUC